This 494-nucleotide ribosomal RNA is filed under the name uncultured bacterium. RNAcentral describes it as "bacterial SSU rRNA". It matches the Rfam family "Bacterial small subunit ribosomal RNA", at positions 30 to 517 of the family's 1533-position model. The record is from RNAcentral.
AUUGAACGCUGGCGGCAUGCCUUACACAUGCAAGUCGAACGGUAACGGGCCUUCGGGUGCCGACGAGUGGCGAACGGGUGAGUAAUGCAUCGGAACGUACCUUUCAGUGGGGGAUAACGUAGCGAAAGUUACGCUAAUACCGCAUAUUCUGUGAGCAGGAAAGCAGGGGAUCGCAAGACCUUGCGCUGAUUGAGCGGCCGAUGUCAGAUUAGGUAGUUGGUGGGAUAAAAGCUUACCAAGCCGACGAUCUGUAGCUGGUCUGAGAGGACGACCAGCCACACUGGGACUGAGACACGGCCCAGACUCCUACGGGAGGCAGCAGUGGGGAAUUUUGGACAAUGGGCGAAAGCCUGAUCCAGCAAUGCCGCGUGCAGGAUGAAGGCCUUCGGGUUGUAAACUGCUUUUGUACGGUAACGAAAAGGACUCUGGCUAAUACCUGGAGCAUAUGACGGUACCGUAAGAAUAAGCACCGGCUAACUACGUGCCAGCAGCCG